This 500-nucleotide ribosomal RNA is filed under the name uncultured bacterium. Its description in RNAcentral is "partial 16S ribosomal RNA". It matches the Rfam family "Bacterial small subunit ribosomal RNA", at positions 30 to 523 of the family's 1533-position model. The record is from RNAcentral.
AUUGAACGCUGGCGGAAUGCUUUACACAUGCAAGUCGAACGGCAGCACGGACUUCGGUCUGGUGGCGAGUGGCGAACGGGUGAGUAAUACAUCGGAACGUGCCCAGUCGUGGGGGAUAACGUAGCGAAAGCUACGCUAAUACCGCAUACGAUCUAAGGAUGAAAGCGGGGGAUCGCAAGACCUCGCGCGAUUGGAGCGGCCGAUGGCAGAUUAGGUAGUUGGUAGGGUAAAGGCCUACCAAGCCGACGAUCUGUAGCUGGUCUGAGAGGAUGAUCAGCCACACUGGGACUGAGACACGGCCCAGACUCCUACGGGAGGCAGCAGUGGGGAAUUUUGGACAAUGGACGCAAGUCUGAUCCAGCCAUUCCGCGUGCAGGAUGAAGGCCCUCGGGUUGUAAACUGCUUUUGUACAGAACGAAAAGGCUCUGGUUAAUACCUGGGGCUCAUGACGGUACUGUAAGAAUAAGCACCGGCUAACUACGUGCCAGCAGCCGCGGUAA